CAUCAUGUAGGCAUUGUAUCAUCUCACAUUGUCACAAGAAGGAAAAUCCUCAAUGCCUGAGAAAUGAGGGACAUUCCAAAGCCACGGAUUGAUCUGAAAUACAGGUCUUUGGAAAUCCUCCUCCAGAUUCCCCAGAGCAUGACAGUGACUUCACGUGGAUACAGAUUUUGCAGUUAUCAACUAACCCAUCAAUUAGCAUUUAUGGAGCACUAAUUGGUGUCAACCCAGGUACCAUAAGUAUCGCUUCUUGACCUGCACAACUUUCUGAUUUGAUGAGUUCAACAGAAACCAACUCAAGGGAGAAGAAUAAAGACAUUGUUGAACUUAGACUUUGACAAGAUAAGAAUAACAAUCUUGGAAUAUGCUGAAGAUGGCAGACUACAAAGUAGAAGGAGACAAAGUUUGUGAAAGACCAGGUGGAGGAAAGUCAUCCACUAAUCAGGAGCCCUUUUAUGGAAUCUACGUAAACAAGAAAUAAACAAAGGUUUAGUCCAUUAUACCUUUCAAGUCAACAGCAAAGCAGACAGCCUACUCUAAUUAAUGUAUCCAUUCUAAGGGAAAAUUAUAUUAAAUGUUAUAUUUUGAAA
Long non-coding RNA from Homo sapiens (human), 587 nucleotides. Lineage: Eukaryota; Metazoa; Chordata; Mammalia; Primates; Hominidae. The record is from Ensembl.